GGAGACUUUGGUGGUGUCUCUAAACAAUUCAGCUCUAGAAGGAAAAAUGACUAUGCAUCUGGUCAAGGACAGUCUUCAUAAUGAGGAGACUAUGACGCCCCCAAAUCCGGGUUAUCUUUAACUCGGGUUUGGUGCUCACGAUUCUAGAAUACCCAUUCGUACUAAAAUAAAACUGUCUUAUAUUACAUAAACAUCGAACUUAAAAUCUCAGGUUCUAGAGACACCUUUACAUACAAUACAAACCAAAUAUUAAUACAACAUAGUACUAACAGUAUUUAUUACAUUUGCUUUUUAAGUUCAUUUAAGCACAGGCGCUUAAUAAAUAACUACUCAACAACUUUGCCUUUUCUUUUGUCUUUUCCAGAUGGACCAGCAACCUCAGUUUUAACUGAAAACAUUAUAUUUAACGCAAGGGUGAGCAACAAGUUUGCCCAGCAAAGAAAUAAGCAGCUAAAUAUAAUGGAACAAAAAUAUUACAGUAAUGAGGAUAUCAUACAGGAGGUAUAGAACAAAGUAAUUCUUAAGAGUGUUGAGUCAAAAGUUAGGAUUUAUCAUGCUGUAAGGUCAAAUGACCAGUGAACUCUAUACUAGAAUUUACAGUAAUAAUACUGCAAUCCAUGAAUACAAACAAUUAUAAAUGUUGUCGUAUAUCCUAGACUCGUACUUCAGGGAAUCAGCCUAAGUACCCUAUAUUGUGCACAACAUAACAGACUAAUAACACUUUACAUGUCCUUCGGAAUCAUAUGUCCGGUACAAUAUGCACCUAUAAAAGGGUAGUUCGUUCACAGCAUUAUAUAAGAAUCCAUACCACAAUAACAAAAUGGUUUGGAAAGCAUUAACUGAUAAAUUCAUGAACAAUAUCAAUAUAUUUCAACAUUUGUCUAACCGAAGUAAUGGUAUUGACAUACUUUCAAUAUAACUUUAUUCAAGAUAGAAAAGUUGAUAUACUAUUCUUUUGAAGCUGAUUGGAAUAAAAAGGCUAUUUAACCAUAUAUUCUUUUGAAGCUGAUUGGAAUAAAAAGGCUAUUUAACCUUAUAUUAUUCAUAAAUAAGGACAGACAGUUCAGAAAUUAAAGAACCUGUCCACUGCAGAAUAAUUUCCCAAUAAAGAGUAAGGGUUAGAAACUUGCCUUGUUUGUAGUCUAUUGCUUAGGAUUUCAGCUUAAUUUGAAGUGUUCUCACAAAAUCCUACACAGUUAUUUAUAUUAACAAGCAUGUUAAUCACAUAGCUAAGUUAUAUAGUUUGUAAGCUCACAUAGUUUCAGUGAUCAUGGUUGUUGCUAAAUUCUUAUUUUUGAUACAUUUUUCAAAUAUCUCAUCCAUGCUUCCAAGAGAUAAUUUUCACUUUGAUGGGUUUCAACAAGUUUUCAACAAGUAAUAGAAAGCACAUUACAGUUAUUAUUUAUUUUAACCAAGCAUGUUAACCAUAUAGCUAAGUCAGAUAUCAUGUAGUUUUAGUGAUCAUGGUUAGAUUUCCUAUAUUUGAUAUAUUUUUCAAAUAUCUCAUCCAUGCUUUUAUCACUACUAUUUUUCUCUAUAAUGGUGUCACACCCAACUUAUAUUGCUUACACCUUAUUAGGAUUUUAACACUUUAAUGGUGUUCAACAUGCUUAUCAAUUAAAAUUUUCUUAUUUCUAGCCACCUCGGUUCAUUCCAACAGUUGAACUUAGUUAGCUAUAUAAUUCAUAUAUGUUCACCUAUUACACUUGAAAUUAGUUCACAUUAGUUUCCACUAUGCCCAACAAGUCCAACACUGCAUUAGUAGUUAGCUGAGGUCACCUAUUAUAGCUAACUACUAGCAGCCCUAUGAUUUCCCCUUUUUUCCCAUCUUCAUUCUUAAUUUGUAAAUGUAUUAUUAAUUCUACAUAUAUGUUUUCAACACAUACUUAAGCUAUACCUAAUGAUUAGCUUCUUAGAAAUUUCUAUUUUCAACCAAUAUGGUUACCUAGAUUGUUUUAGCAGUCAAAAUAUAUCAACUGCUGCUGCUCAAAGGCAGCAGCCAUAAACAUCUUGGCCUUGCUUAGCUUAUAGCUUUCCUUUACAAUUUUAUCUUACUAACUGCAGCUAACAGAGAAUAAUAGGAAGCAUGCCCAGUUCAAUAUUCCACAGUCUUCUUGUUGCUUUUCUAUGCUAGCAGCCAAGCUUGGCUUGGCCUUGUGAGGCUCAGGCCCCUAAGUCAAACAUAAAGCUGCUAUUGCAGCUGCUAAUUUUGGCAACUGCUGCCACACUAGAGUAGCAGUUCGGCCAAUCUUCUUAAUCCAACUAUCUCAUUAAUAUUUUCUACGUAUGAAUGCACUGUGCCAACUGCUACUGUUGUCACUGCUAUUAAGGACAUCAGUCCUGUUUCCCCUAUUCAACUCUCCUUCUUGUAACUUUAUAACUUAUGUUAUGCAACUUUACUUAAGCUCAAGUUUUAGCAUAAUUUUUUUUAUAAUUUAGCAGUCUAUUAAUAAGAAUGUUAAGCCUUCUAAAUCAUGAUUUCCAAGUUACCUAAACUACCAGCAAUUUGCUGCUUUUUAUCACUGAUGUCCGUGAGCAGCAAUUUCCUCCCCUUCCUUGCUUAUUGGUCCAGCCAUUAACUCAUCCUAGCUGGCCCUGCAGCACAACAUAACACAGCAGCGUGCGCUGGCUGCUGCUAUCUGCAGCAGCCCAGCCAGUCCUCCCCCUUUCACAGAUCCUGUUUUAGCAAUUUGAAUAACCUUUGCUAUAUAGGUUUAUUUGCAACCAAUUUUAGAUAUAUUACAUAUGGUAUAUGAAAAUGUUUUUAGCAUUUAUAACACCUCCAUUUCAGUCUUAAUAGGCUGCCCAAAACAGUGCUCGACAUGCUAAUUUUAUUAAUUCUUCUUUAACUCAAGACUGAAUUUUAUUUCAUUCUAAGAGGCUUAACUUGCUAAUUAACAAUACAAGUAAUACAUGAAUCAAUUCCAGCCUUGUUUGUGUCUAAUACCUGACUGUUAACUUAAGCAGUCCACUUGGGACUUUCGUCGAGCAUGUGGUGUGCAUGGUUUCAGUUUACUAGUGCCAUAGCAAUUUGCUUGUUUUAGAAAGCCAACUUUAUCAUCCUUAUUACUCCUCAGCCCAACUUAACUCCUUGUGCCUAGGUUCAGUCCAUACUAUCUUAGCCAUAGCAUAGCAGUCAACAACAACUUAAUAUAUCAACACCUAUCAUGUUAAUAGUCAAUUAUGAUAGCAAUAUAGCAUGUCAUUCAGUUAGAUCCUACGGCAGCUUGCAUAAUAGCUCAAAAAUCCAUAUAACAGUCCUUAUAGCAUUGUCAUAGCACAGUAAUGAAUUUAAGACAUAACAGUCUCUCAUGCCCAUUCCAAGCUUUUUAGGCAAGGUUUUGACAUUAAAUCACCAAAACAGCCAUGAGGUUUACAACCCAAAGGUUUCCACAUCCUGUUUAUGCUAUAUAAUAUAUGUUGAUGCUUUAAAGAGCCUACAUACCAGGCUUUUAACUUUAGUUAAACACAGCCUUUCAUAGGCUUCAAUUUAAUGCAAAAAGCAUGAUUCAGAAAAAUCUUAGUUACCAACACAACAUGAUUAAGUAACAGGUAAACCAAAAUUGGUUAUUUACAUAAUAUCUAGUAGGUAUUUCUUUCAUCCGGAUGGUCUAUUUUAGUUACUUCUUAGACAGUCCAAGACCACACCUCUUUAGACCUUAACAUAUUGUGAAACUUUAAAGUGUCCACAAGAGUAGCUUUUAAAGUUUGAGGUAGUUAUCCCCAGUUAUAAUGCAGUAAGUAUUCUACAGACACUUCAUAAAUAUCAUAAGAAAAGCUUCUAAUAUCAGUCAUAAGGAAGCUUACCAAUUCAGUCUAUUCUUACUUGCCUUGUCCAAGUGUUUAUCUAUCUUAGUUUGUCAUUUAUUUUGAGACAUGUUAAGGUCAAGCCUAGAGUAUACUUAUAAGCAAUUUGAUACUAGUUUGGAUUCUAAAUCAUGGUUAAUAUUCAAAGUUACAAAAUCAGGCCUUAGUUCGGCAAUUCAUCAAACAUGUAGAGGGCAGUGUAAAUUCUUGUACUUAAAACAUAAUUUCUAACCCUCUGCCCCCAGCCGUAUGGCUUAAACAAUAUCAAGCAUAAGACCAAACUUAUCAGUACCAAACCCAGCAGUUCAAAUACAUGAAAGCAGUCAUUAUAUUAAGUUACCAUAACAGUCAUACACGUUUUCUGGUCAUUGACAGUUCAGUUUGCUAAUUAAUUCAAUAGCCAUCCUGUUCAUUUAUCAGUUCAGUUGCUACCCGGAAUGGAAAGAUUAGAAAGGCCAGAAUUGGCUUACCUUGCUGAUUCGAAGGUGUCAAGUGGGUUGAGCUACUCAAUUCCUUUUCCCCUCUAGCCGAACUCUUCACUCUUGCUCUAUAUGACCGUUGCUGCUAAUUCUUUUGAACCCAGUUAAGUGAUGAGGCUAAUUGGUUUUGGGUAAUAACUUGGCCUUUUUAUGGCUGAGUUUAACUUCUUUACUGUGGAUCACAUCACCUCUAGUUGGCCCCUACCCAACCCUCAUCCUAGUCUAGCUUGCACAGCCCCCUUCUCAGCCACCAUAGGUUGUCUGCUACCUUAUCUUCUGCAAGACUACUGACCUGUUUUGUCUGCUAACCAAGUUCACUCACCUGCCAACCAAACUAACUUAGAGUCUGCAAAAUCUGCUAAUCACCUGACUAAUGUAACUAUCUCAGCUAACUACCUUCCUAUUUGGGCUGUUACAUGAAGCUUAAGGAAGGCUGGCUUUAAAUUGCUACUAGUAUUUGAACAAAGAUGAUAGAAAAAUCUAAUUCACACAUAUUAGAUAAGUAAUAGCUCUUUAUACCAAAUAAUAAAAGGUUUGCAAGCAUAUACUUGGGUUGGCCCAAGUUAAGAAUAGUGGUCUUUUACAGCAUGGGUCAAAAAAAAAAAAACCACUAUCACAAAUUUGCAAGUAUACUUAGUAUGGCCCAAAUAUUUUAAUAUGGGCUCUUAUUUUAAGACACAUGGACUUUAAUCUAUUAUAUUUUCUAGCAACAAUAGAUAGCCCAUAUAUCAUUAAAAUGACUAUUCUAUAUAAUCUUAAAUAAUUAAUGAUGACACAUAAUUUCUUUAUUCUUUAUAAUUCAAGAUGCUAAACAAACUAUUAAAUAAAUAAUAGUUUUAUCACAAUGAAAACUAACGUAGUUAAAAUAAUAAAAUAAAAAAAAAUUAUACUCAAAAAUUGACAUUAUAUUAAUUAAAUAAUACAUAGAAUUUUCUGAAUUAUUACAGAUACAAGACGAAAGGAGCAAGGUGUGAAUUCUGAGACACAAACACAAGUUUUCGUCGCGCAGAGUAGCGGCAGAAACAGAGAGAAGAGCUCUGAAGGUUAUCGACAUUGGAGAUAUUUAUCUGAAGAAUAACAAUGGUGGCAUGUUGAUACUUAGAGAAGUCAGACAUGUUCCGGAUAUCCGCCUUAAUUUGAUGUCUAUUGGUAAGCUUGAUGAGAAUGGUUAUAGCAUUUCCUUUGGUGAAGGUCAGUGGAAGCUCACUAAAGGGUCUCUAGUGGUGACUAAAGGAAAGAAGGUAGGCGCUUUUUACACAAUGCAUGCGCGUGUGGAAGGUGUUAAAGAUGGGGGAGUUAGGCGAAAAAAGAUGUGGUACAAAGCCAUGCAAGAUGGAAGAAAAGCCUUGCAUGAGAACCACGAGAAGAAAGCUCUUCACUUUAAAUGGGUACCAAAAGUGAAGAAGGAAAGUGAUAGCUAGCAGCCAGGGUACAAAACGGUUGUGAAAGAAUUUGACAAGCAAAAAUCUGUCAAGUAUGAGUUAGAUCCUCCCAUCAAGAAAAGUCAUGCCGAUGAGAUAAAGUCGGACGUGAAGAAAGUUAAAAAUUCCAAGAAGCUUGAGUUGAGUCAAGGCUUCGUUGGGAUUAACUCCAAGUGAGGAGUUGUGGUUUGACGUGCAAAUUCAGUCUUGCAAGGUUAUACAGAAGCAGAUAUAGCAGGUUUCGAAGAGAAGGAGUCUACUUCGGGGUAUUUGUUUACUUUUGCAGGGGGAGCCGUGUUAUGGCAGUCCAAGUUGCAGAAGUGUAUUGCUUUGUCUACUACUGAGUUGACAACGAAAUGUUGUGGUUUCUUCAAGAGUUGGAUUUGACACAGGAAUCGACUCCAAGUGACGGAGUCAUGGUAAAUACCUCCUCUAAUGGGUUCGGAGGGGGAGAUUGUUGGUAAACAUGCUAUCCUCACCCAUUAAUGCCCGCCCAUUGAAAUCCGCCUGGGUAUUUUCUUGACUCCCUCCCUCAGUUUGUGGCUAUAAAAGAAGACCAAAUGGAUGGAAGAUAAACACACCAAGAAAAACAUAUACUCUCAUCCGAGAGUUAGAAGAGAAAAGAGGGAGAGACAAGCUUUUGUGAAGCUUUAGAAAAAUAGAGAGAGAAAAAUAGUUCAAAUAAAAGGGUGUUUUAUUUGGGUUCCAUCACAUAAUUAUUGUGGUGAAGUAAUUUGAGUUUGUACUCAAAUUAAGAUAUCUUUGUACUCUCUCAUAUUAUUCUAGUGAAUUAUUCGGAGUUUGUCCCGUGGUUUUUACCACUUAGUUUUAGAGGGUUUUCCAUGUAAAAUCUUGGUGUCUCGUGGUUGGAUAUUUUUCUAUGUAUUAUUUCCUGCAUGGUUAUUAUUUUGGUAGAACUACAAAUUUAAUCUGCUUGGCAUGUGCUGAAAUUUUAUCCGUCUAAUUUAUCAAAGACAACAGUAUUUGGGAGGUGAUUUUUUUCCCAACAACUGGUAUCAGAGAUAAGGUUAUUUGCUCGGUUGUUUUUGAUAAAUUUUAUGGAGGAUUCAGUCGGAGCCAUGAUUAAAUUGACAUCUUCAAAAUUUUCAAUCUGGAAGCCUAGAAUGGAAGAUAUCCUUUAUUGCAAGGAUCUGUAUGAUCCGUUGGAGCUCAAGGGAAAGAAGCCCGCGGAUAAGUCUGAGGCUGAUUGGAAUAAAAUGAAUAGGAAGACUAUUGGUCACAUCCGGCAGUGGAUUGAUCAAAGUGUGUUCCACCAUGUUUCGCAGGAGACGGAUGCUCACACUUUAUGGACAACACUAGAGUCUAUGUACGAGAAGAAGAAUGCACAAAAUAAAACUUUUGUCAUUCGGAAAAUUAUGAAUUUAAAGUACAAGGACGGGAGCAGUGUGUCGGAGCAUAUGAGUGAGUUCCAAGGAUUGGUGAACCAGUUGUCCACCAUGAAGUUGAAUCUUGAUGAUGAGAUUCAGGCUCUUUUGCUUCUCAGUUCGUUGCCAAACAGCUGGGAGCCUUUGGUGGUGUCUCUAAGCAAUUCAGCUCCAGAAGGAAAAAUGACUAUACAGAUGGUUAAGGACAGUCUUCAUAAUGAGGAGACAAGACGAAAGGAGCAAGGUGUGAAUUCUGAGACACAAACACAAGUUUUCGUCGAUCAGAGUAGCGGCAGAAACAGAGAGAAGAGCUCUCCUGAAGAUGACAAAUCCAGGAGAAGGUUGAGAGGAAAAGAAAUAAUUUGCUUUCACUUCCAAAGACCGGGUCAUAUAAGGCGAGAGUGCAUAUUUUUAAAGAAGGAAAAGUCUAAGGAAAAAGAUGAGGAUAAAGACUCAAUUGUGUAUCUAUCCGACAUUGAUGUAGCCCUUGUUAGUGAUGGUAAACCCAAGUGUCAAGUUAAUGAAUGGGUUAUUGAUUCGGGUGCUUCGUUCCAUGCAACUUCGCGUGGUGAGAUCUUCACAUCCUACAUUAGUGGUGAUUUUGGCUAUGUACGGAUGGGAAAUGGUAGUGCAUCCAAGGUUAUCGGCAUUGGAGAUAUUUAUCUGAAGACUAACAAUGGUGGCAUGUUGAUACUUAGAGAAGUCAGACAUGUUCCGGAUAUCCGCCUUAAUUUGAUGUCUAUUGGUAAGCUUGAUGAGAAUGGUUAUAACAUUUCCUUUGGUGAAGGUCAGUGGAAGCUCACUAAAGGGUCUCUAGUGGUGACUAAAGGAAAGAAGGUAGGCGCUUUUUACACAAUGCAUGCACGUGUGGAAGGUGUUAAAGAUGGGGGAGUUAGGCGAAAAAAGAUGUGGUACAAAGCCAUGCAAGAUGGACGAAAGGUCUUGCAUGAGAAUCACGAAAAGAAAGCUCUUCACUUUAAAUGGGUACCAAAAGUGAAGAAGGAAAGUGAUAGCUCGCAGCUAGGGUACAAAACGGUUGUGAAAGAAUUUGACAAGCAAAAAUCUGUCAAGUUUGAGUUAGAUCCUCCCAUCAAGAAGAGUCAUGUCGAUGAGAUAAAGUCGGACGUGAAGAAAGUUGAAAAUUCCAAGAAGCUUGAGUUGAGUCAAGGCUUCGUUGGGAUUAACUCCAAGUGAGGAGUUGUGGUUUCACGUGCAAAUUAAGUCUUGGAAGGUUAUACAGAAGCAAACAUAGCAGGUUUCGAAGAGAAGGAGUCUACUUCGGGGUAUUUGUUUACUUUUGCAGGGGGAGCCGUGUUAUGGCAGUCCAAGUUGCAGAAGUGUAUUGCUUUGUCUACUACUAAGUUGACAACGAAAUGUUGUGGUUUCUUCAAGAGUUGGAUUUGACACAGGAAUCGUCUCUAAGUGAUGGAGUCAUGGUGAAUACCUCCUCUAAUGGGUUCGGAGGGGAAGAUUGUUGGUCAACAUGCUAUCCUCACCCAUUAAUCCCCGCCCAUUGAAAUCCGCCUGGGCAUUUUCUUGACUCCCUCCCUCAGUUUGUGGCUAUAAAAGAAGACCAAAUGGAUGGAAGAUAAACACACCAAGAAAAACAUAUACUCUCAUCCGAGAGUUAGAAGAGAAAAGAGGGAGAGACAAGCUUUUAUGAAGCUUUAGAAAAAUAGAGAGAGAAAGAUAGUUCAAAUAAAAUGGUGUUUUAUUUGGGUUCCAUCACAUAGUUAUUGUGGUGAAGUAAUUUGAGUUUGUACUCAAAUUAAGAUAUCUUUGUAUUCUCUCAUAGUUAUUGUAAUCUGUUACAAAAGAUAAAAGAAUUACAAAAAAGAAACUCAAAGAGUAAUUCUUUCAAAUAAAAUAACAUAUAGUUAGGAGGGUCAAUCGUAGCAAUAACGCCAAUGGACACCAAAGAAACUCCUGAAAUACAUUCAUAUCCCAAAAUAAUAAUAUAAUAAGUAGAUUCAAACUCUUUUUUAGUGUAGCAACGGAAGAACAAGUCGCAAUGGAAACACAACGUACAUCUAAAUCUGAAUAAUCCAUCUUCAACAAUUCAUGCACUGAAAAAAGUCUCACGAACAAAAAAAUCUUUUAAACAGUGAAAACAAAAUCUCUCAAAUGGAGAAUGAAAAAUCUCCCAUAAGAUGAUAAUGAAAUCUCCUUACAAAAGAGAAAGAAAUUAGUCAUCAUAUCUAAUGGAGAAAAAAAGUCUCACAGAAGGGAAAAACAAACUCUAAAAGAAGAGAAAAUAAUUUAUUAAAUCAAAAUAAGAGAGAUCUAAAGGAGGUAUCUCUAAAAGAAGAGCCCUCCAUCAGAUCUAAGAUAGAGGAUAUGGUUCUUGACUAGAGAGAAAAGAAAAAAGAGUGGAACUUAAUUUAUAUUAAUCAUUAAUUGAAUGUAUUGUAUCUUUAAUAAAAUAUACGUGCUAAAAUUUGUGGAAAAAAUAAAUUGGACUACCGAGUCAUCAAAGUUGGAUUGUCAAGUUGACUCGGGACCAACUAAAACGACUCAGUAUUUGCCUUGUUAUUUUUUGAUAUUGAUAAGUAGUUCGGACAAAUAAUAUUAUUUUUGUAAUAAAUAUUAAUAACCUAAUGAUGUUAAAAGUUGUGCACCCUCACUCACGGUAGACUUAUGGGGGCUAUGCAUGGACCCCACGUGCGAAAGUUUAUCGACAUGCGGGGAUCGUGGAUUGGGUCACGUGGGGUCUCGUGGCUCUUUUGUGUAGGGGUUACGAAUUUGGCCACGCGAAGCCUUGAUGCUUAGCCACGCGUGUGAUACCCCCAAAUUUGGGUUACCUUUACCUCAGGUUUGGUGCUCACGAUACUGACAUAUCCCAUCAUCCCAUCAUAAUACUAAUUUAAACUUGUCUUAGAUUACAUAUUAAUUUUAGCUGAAAUCACAGAUUCUACAGACCUUUACAUAAUACAACACCAAAUAAUAUUACAAGAAAUAAUAAUAAGGUAAUUAUUACAAUAACUCCUUAAGUUCAUAUAAGCACAUACGCUUAAUAAUUAUUUAUUAUGCCACUUUUCCUUUUCCUUUAUCUUUUCAACAUAAGGGUGAGCAAAAGCUUGCUCAACAAGGAAUAAACAGUUGAAUAUAAUGAAACAAAAAUAAAGGAAUUAAUUAAUGAGAUACUAAGCAAAACAGUCCUUUCAAAGUUGUGAGGCUUUAGCAUACUGUAAGGUCAAAUGACCAGUGAAAUCUGUAUUAGAAUUGGCAGUACUAAAACUGCAAUCUAUGUAUAUAAAUAGAUACUAAAAACUAAAUAUACCAUAGACUUGUACUUUAGGUGAUCAGCCCAAGUACCCUAUAUUGUGCAUUACAUAAUAGUCUAAUGACACAUUACAUGUCCUUCGGAAUCAUAUAUAUGUCCGGUAUCAUAUGCCCCUAUAAAAGGGUUGAUCGUUCACAACAUUAUAUAAGAGUCUGUACCACAAAAAAAUGGUUUGGAGAACAUUAAAUGAGAUUUUCAUGAAUGAAUAAUAUCAAUAUAUAUCAACAUUUGUCUAGCUAAAAUAAUGGCAUUUGCAUACCUUCAAUAUCAUAAGAAUAACUUAAUAUGAAGUAUAGGAAUUCAUUAAUUUCAAUAACUUGAAAAGAUAAACUUUCGAGUUAAGUACUUGCAAUAUAAACUUAUUUGAGUAAUAAAGGUUGAUGUACUUGCCUCUCGCGUCGAUUAAACUUUUUAAUAUGGUAUCUUGUCACUGAGUAGCCUACAUAUAUAUACAGUAUCGGCUUACUUAGUGAUCUUAUAGCAUAAAAUCUAUAUUUAUUGAUACACAUAGCUCAACUAUGGUUAUUGAAACUAUAUCCAAUAACUAACAUCAAACAAUCAUAUAGAUAACUUUUAUUUGCAAAUAUAUAGUUAAGCACACAUAGGCACUUAGCUUGUCACAAUACAUUUUCACAGCUUAGGAGGUAUACAAUAAUUUUACUUAAUUAGCUCACAUUGACAGAUAUCACAUAUUACUUUCAUACAUCCCAAAACAUACAAGUUUUAGUCCAAAUAUAACAUAAUAUAGAUCUUACAUCAUAAAACACCUUUAUUAUCUCAUUUAGUCAUGUUAAGACAUUUACAAGCUUUAAACUUUACUUUUACAACAUAACUCAAAAACACAAAAACAUGAUUUUUGAGGUACUUUUGGAGAUUUUUAGUAAUUUCUAUAGUAGCUUGUUGAAUCUCCCAUUUGAGCAAUCCUAUAGACCCUAUACCCAAAUAUUUUAUUCUUGGUUUAUGUAUUUAAAACUAUCAAGUUUAAGCAAUCAAAAAUAAGCCCCAAAUGGGCUAUUUUACUCCUUUUAUUACUUGGCCAAAUGUACAAUUUUUGAUUUUCAAGGCUACUUAGAUGAUUUUUAUGAAUUUUUGUAUUAAGCUUUUGAACAUUAAUUCUGGACAUAUUUCUAGACUAUAUACCAAAGUAUUUUUGUAUUGGUUUAGGUUCUCAAUGUAGCGCCCCAAAAUCCGACUCCCUUGAAUCUCAGACCUGGUGCGUCACGGUACAUCAUCUUCAUACAUAUUCUAUAAACUAAUGUGGAAUAUAUAUAUAUAUAUAUAUAUAUAUAUAUAAACAUAAAUUGUUCGUUUCAAAUGAUUUUACAACAUUUUCCAAGGUCUACAACCUUAACUCAAUACAUACCUUAUAAUUCAAAAAGUUUACAUAAUAAUUUGCAUAGGUAACAACGUAGUUAACCGUGUAUUAAACAACUCUUAAAUUCUUCCUUUGCCUUUGACCUUCUUGAAGCACCCGGGUUUAACUAAAAUGUUAUCAUGAUAUAGCAAUGGUGAGCAACUACUUUGCUCAAUAAGUUUAAAUACAAUAAAGAUACAUCAUGAUUGAAAGAAAGAAUAAGUAUUCGAAUUUUCAACAAUAUAUAAUGAUUGUGAAAGAGUAUGAAUCAAGUUUCAAUAAAUGAAUAUCUGAAUCAAUAACACUGAGUGGUUAACAAUGACCAUGAACAAAUACUUUGGUAAUGAAGGUGAUCAGCCCUUCAUACCCGAUAAACAUAUGCAACUUAUACUAAGUGCGAAUCAAUAAUCAUAGAUGUGUAAUAAUUAUCAAUAAUUAAACCACUAGCAUGCUUGAAACUCGAGUUUGAGUUAGGAAACUUGCCUUGUCUGUCGAUUACUGCUAUGCAAUCUAUUUUAAUCUCUUAUGAAAGACCUAUCAUAUAUAAGAUUGAUCUUUCAAUCAACAUAUCAUAUCAUACCUCAUAAUACCACUAUAUUUUAGAAAUAAAUCAUCUAACAUUUAACCAUAUAAUUAAAUAUUACACAACAACUUAAACCAUCAGUACUAUUAUCGUCCUUUGAUAAUAUUUCAAUCACUUUAUCAUCAUCUUAAAACUUUCGUUUAAUAUUAAUUUAAUAAUAUUUUAUUCAUUUCUUAAUAAUUACUUCAUAACAUUUUAAUUGUAUACAAAUAUUAUUAACCUUUUAAUAAUAUUUUAAUCAUUUACUAACAUCUUAAUCAUUUAUAAAUAUUAUUAAUCCUUUAAUAAUAUUUUAAUCACUUACUAAUAUUAUUAAUCAUUUAAUAAUAUUUUAUUCAGUUACAAUUAUUAUUAACCCUUUAAUAAUAAUAUUAAUCAUUUACAAAUAUUAUUAAUCCUUUAAUAUUAAUCUUAAUAAUUUACAAAUAUAAUUAAUCCUUUAAUAAUAUUUUAAUCAUCUAAUAUUAUUAAUUAUUUAAUAAUAUUUUAAUCAUUAUCUAAUAUUAUUAAUCACUUAAUAAUAUUUUAAUUUAACUUUAAUCUAAUAUUAUUAAUCAUUGAAUAAUAUUUUAAUUUACUUUAAUCUAAUAUUAUUAAUUAUUUAAUAAUAUUUUAAGCUAAAUAUUAUUAAUUACUUAAUAAUAUUUUAAUAUAAUAUUAUUAACCUUUUGAUAAUAUUUUAAUCAUUUCUUAUACUUAUAAACAAUUUAAUUAAUUAUUUAUCCUUUACUAUAACAUUUUUUUAACAAACCUAAAAUUUCAUAAAUAUAAAAUUUUAUUAAAAAUGACCAAAAUACCCUCUAAAAAUCUGAUUACCUUAUAUCAAGGGUCUUUGAUCAAAAAAUAUAUAUUUUUACCCUUUAUAACAUCACAUUACUUAUUUUAUUCAUUUAUUUAUAACUCAAUUAUUUAAAUAAAAAUACCAAAUCAGCUCAAAAAAUAUUUCUUUUCUGAGAAAUAUCAGUACAUGGUAUCAUGAUGAACAUAUAAUUGUUCUGGAAUUUUUGGAUUCCAUUUUCUAUUUUUAAAUGGUCCAAAACAGACAGAUCUUGUAACAAUUAUCAUAAACUGAGUUUUUGUCCAAAAAUUCCAAAACUUUCAAGGUAUGUUCUAAUUAUGUCUAUGUACUUCAUGUAAAGAUUUCAUAAUUUUUGGAGUUACACACUAAGAGUUUUUCCCUUUUACUUUUUAAGUAGUCAUUUCUCGUAAAAUCCAUAACUUUCAUCCUACAGAUCCAAAGAUUACCAUCAUUUUACUGAAAAUAGUUAACUCAUUAUAUUAUCAUCUCAAAUGUUUCCAAAAGUUUUAAAAUAAAAUAAACGAACGAAACUGCCCUUGCUAUGAACUGCCCAAAACAGUCCUUUUUUUGUAAAAUCUGGACAGUUUUUCUUAAAAUAGCUCCCAUGGCUUGAAAAUCAAUAUUUUUAGUGCUACCACUUGGGUUUUAAAUUUAACUUACAUAUCUAGCAUCCUUCUUUGACGGAUCAUAAAAAGGAUAUGUAAAUUUCAAAUGGUGGUUGAUCAAAGUGAAGAAAAGUUAGCGAACAUAGUUUUCAUUUUCUUCUUUUGAUCCAACUUUUUAACACUCAAAAUGAUUAGAUCCAUACAUGAAAUACUAGAAAACAUGUAAAUCAAGAGUUUUGGAGUUUUAGAAACAUAAGUUCAUGUUUUGAUUUUAAGCAACCAAAGUAAUUUACAUAAACUAGGUUAAGGUUUAUACCUUUAAUUCUUUGGGUUAUCCUUCUCCUUCUUCCUUCCAAGUGAGUUAUGAAGCUUUACAAAACUCCCUCCUCUUCCCUUUUCUAAGGCUCGUUAGCAGCCCCCCCUCUCUCUAUUAUAUUUUGAUUUUUGUUCUUAGCUUUUUGUGGAGAAAUGAAAUAAAAGGAAAUAAACUUUAAUUUGAUUUUGUUGAAAGUGAUGUUACUUGUAUUUAGUAUGUGUAGAUACAUCUUGUGUAUCUAAAAAAAAUCUCCCACAUAUCUCUUGUGACGCCCCCAAAAUAGGUAUACAUCACCCAUCUUGAGUCGCUAGAUACAUGGUACAAAAUUCAAAUAUAACUUAAUUAUACAACUGUCGUGUAAAAUACGACAAAACAUAUGUUAUGAGUUUUAAUACAAAUAUUGUCAUCUAGACAAUAUCCACACUCAAAUUCAAUCUUAUUAUAUUUACUAUCACACAAUUUCACAGAAUAGUGAGGACUACUAAUGCAACCAUCUGGACCGUCAAUUCAUUCCCCGACCAGUCCCAGCUAUAUUCUUAUUUCCUAAAGAGAAUAGUGAAAGAAAGAGUGAGCUCAACUAGCCAGUAAGAAAUAUUAUGACUAAGAUAAUGCAGAAUAAAUUAUCAUUUGCCUUCAACAGUAUAACAACUGAUAGAAUAUAAUAGACAACAAGGUUUAGAUCAACAACUGCAGCGGAAUAAGCAAUCCAUUAGAAGAGUCAAGUAGAGCAUAAAAUCUACUAUCUUCUAUGAUUUAAAAAGGUUUUCAUCAACUUUAUUGCUGAGACUCAGCUUAAUAAAUAAACUACAUCAUCGAAUCAUCCCUGCACCACGGCCAAGGAUAUUCAUGUAAUCAUCAAUGGUCAUGAUUAUACCGGAUAAUCCUUGGUCAUAAUCAUACCAACAACUGUCCAUCAAUGCACUACAGGCUAAUAAAGACUUUCACCAUAUCAUUCGUCACAUUACGGUCAUUAUUAUACUAAAAAAUCCCUGAUCAUAAUCAUACCAAGUCCAUCUAUGCACGUAAGCCAAAGAUGACUUUCAUCACAAUAUAAGCAUGGGGAUGAUAACAAUGACAUAAUAAUUCAAUAAAACAAGUUCAAGGAUAAAUUUUAAAGAUUUAUAAUUUAAUUUAUCCAGGAAUCAAUAACGUCCAAUUUGUCAACAUGAUACUGCUUUGUGGAGUAAAAUUCAAGAAUAAUAUUGUACCCAAAAAUGAUUUGGACCGAAAAGAAAUAUAUUUUUCGGGUGAAUAGUACCCCGUAAAUAGUACUUCGGGAAUAGUACCCCGUGAAUAGUAUCCCGACACGAAAAGUAUCCCAAAUACCCGAGUGAAUAAUAUUAGAGUGAAUAGUAAUCGGGUGAAUAGUAACCCAUGAAUAGUACUUCGGCACGAAAAGUACUCCGAAUACCCGAGUGAACAAUACUAGAGUGAAUAGUAAUCGGGUGAAUAGUAACCCAUGAAUUGUAACUCGUAAAAAAAAAACCAAAUAAAAUGAUAUUCCAUGACGAGUACAAAAGAAAUGAUGUCUCAUACGAGUAUAAUAGAAUAUACAAAACUGCAAAUGAAUUUUCACCCGCCAUGUGGUAAUCCACGCAGAUAGAUCAUUUCCACAAUUUAAUAAAGAAUGAAUACGAAGAGUCAUUCACCAUGCAUAUGGUAAUCCACAUAGACAGGUUAUUCCAACAGAAUAAUAAAGAAUGGAAUAACAGAAGAAUUCACCAUGCAUGCGAUAGACCGCACAGACAGGAUAUUCCAACAGAAUAAUAAAGAAUAGAACCAGGUCAUGCGUAAUCCGCACAGACAGGAUAUUCCAAUAGAAUAAUAAAGAAUGGAACUAGGUCAUGUGUAAUCCGCACAUUCAAGAUAUUCCAGCAGAAUAAUAAAGAAUGGAAUAACAACAGAAAUCACCAGGCAUGCGAUAGACCGUAUAGACAGAUUAUUCCAACAGAAUAAUAAAGAAUGGAACCAGGUCAUGCGUAAUCCGCACAAACAGGAUAUUCCAGCAAAAUAAUAAAGAAUGAAAUAACAACAGAAUUCACCAGGCAUGCGAUAGACCGCAUAGACAGGUUAUUCCAACAGAAUAAUAAAGAAUGGAAUAACAGAAGAAUUUCACCAUGUAUGCGGUACUUCGCAUAGACGGGUUAUUCCAACAUAAUAAAGAAUGGAAUAACAACCCUUACGAGUAUUGAAAGAAAAUAACUCUCUUUAUGAAUACGAAAGAAUAAUACCCCUUACCUUAGAAGAAACUGGAUACUGGAAUAGUGAGGUAGCAGACUUCUCUUCUUCUUUUUCUCUAUAAUAAUUGCUCUAUAGCUUUAGUGAAUUGGUGAAAAAUAAUAAAGGAAUGAGCUUCUAUUUAUAGGAAAAUAUAGUUUCAAUAAUUGCACGUUUUGGGGCUCGAAAUAUUUCAGUAUAAUACCUUCCUCUUUUUCUUCAUUUUUAAUUUAAUCCUGCAAGUAUUUUCAAACUUGCACCACCUCCCCUAAUAAUAUAUCAUAUUAUGCAGAUGCUAUGUGACAAUAAUUGAAUCAAUAAUAUGAGAGAUAUGAUGCAGCAAUUACUGUAGAAAUAAUUGAGUAUAACUGAGUGACUUCUUACGUAAGCAUCAAUAAUCAAUACCGUGUGUUACUAUGCAACCACGCGUAUUACUGUACUUUUAUUCGUCGUUUAUAAAAUGAUAAUUCUAUCAUUUCUUAACUACGACAAUACUUCCAUUGUGGGGUAUACCAAUGAUUGUGCCGUCGUACGGAUAUUCCCCGACAAAAAAAAUAUUCCCCGACCAAACAAAUAUUUUAUAACAACUUGCUUACUUUAUAAAAUUUAUAAAUAUUACCCACAACUAUAACAUUAUAUCAAAUCCACACCAUAAUAUUCAAAAAAAUAUUUCGAGAAAUUUAAAUCUUUAUUCAUAAAAUUUGGAGUCUCACAUCUCUCAUUCUCUCUCUUAUCUCUUCUCCAUUUUGCUUGUAAACUUGGUUAAAGUAGGUGGCCAAAUAGGAUUGUGACACCUAGUUUGUGUGUGGAAGUAACUUUGACAAAAUGAAUAAAUCACAUGGUCUUAUCUCCUUGUGUUGGCCAGAUUCUUCCCCCCNNNNNNNNNNNNNNNNNNNNNNNNNNNNNNNNNNNNNNNNNNNNNNNNNNNNNNNNNNNNNNNNNNNNNNNNNNNNNNNNNNNNNNNNNNNNNNNNNNNNUUGCUUAAUCAAAUGACUUAAAAGUCCCUCAUUAUAAAAUGGAAAAAAUGGUCAUUCCACCAUAUCUAGGAAAUUUCCUAGAAAUUUUCUUAUAGGACAUAUUCAUCAUUAAUAAUUUUUAUCAAGGGUAUAAUGAUUAUUUGGCCAUUUGCUAGGAAACUUCCUAGAAAUUUCCCUCUAGGAUACAAGGGUCAUUAGUGAGAUUCUUCAAAAGCAAUUUGGUCAUUUAAUCAUUCAAUAGGAAAUUUCCUAGAACACUAUAGUUAUUAAUAAUUCUCUUGGGGUAAAAUAGUCAUUUCCUCAUUACUAGGAAACUUCCUAGCAAUUUCCUCCUAGGACUCAUUGGUCAUUAGUAUCUUUCUCCAAGGGCAAAAGAGUCAACACACCAUUGCUAAGAAACUUCCUAGCAAUUUCGUCCUCGAAGGCAUGUUGGUCAUAAGUCAUUUUCAUUAAGGGUAACAUAGUCAUUUCCCACAAUUUCCUACAUUUAACUCAAGUAUGGUUAGUUCCUAACCAUAAUUAUUCUACUAACACAUGUCCCAUUAUUAGUUGGACCAACACUUGGGCUUCCACUUAGUUUUUUGGGCUCUCUAAUUAAAAUAAUUGGGCCAAGUGAAUUUUCAUGGUCCACUACCUUAAUUUUAUCUUACCCUAAUUAUUUAAUUAGGGUCUCCAUUUCACUCCUUUGAAAUUUAAAUAAUUACUCAUGUACAUAUAAUUUUAUAACCCAAUUAGACUUGCGUUUCUUUUUUUUUUCUCUUUAUAUAAUAAAUAAAUAUAUAUACAUAUUAUAUAUAUAUAUAUAUAUAUAUAUAUAUAUAUAUUUAAUCACAUACAUAGUCCACACAAGUCACAAAGUAUUUAAUGAAUGGAUAAAUAAUUAAUGUAACCUAAUAUUCUUGUAUGAUUAAUUUAAUUAAUCAUUUCUCUUGCUAAAAUAUAUAUAACAUAUCACUAAGUAUAUAUGUACCUAAACAUAUACACAUUCACUUAAUAAUUUUUCCUUAUACAUUAUUAUACAAUCUCUUUCACUAUUUAAUUCACAUAAAUUUUAAAGCUAUCAUAAUACCUUAUUCUUAAUAUACCUCCAAGUAUAAUUCUAUUCUAGGUUUUGAAUUUUUAUAACCCAUAUUUUCUCACUUUUACUCUUUAUCUUCUCAUUUCUUUCAUUCACAUUUAAUUUCUUUGCAUUGCUUAAAAAUUUCAAACCAUAUAGGUUUUUCUCAAAUUUUUUUAAUUAUUCCUCUAUUUCAAGUCUAGGUUUUAUUGUUUAACCUUUAAUUUAUAAGAUUAUUUAUUCGUUCAAGAUAUCUUAUAAAUUUUCCGGUUGUCACACUUAAGCAAGAUUUUUGAGCUUCUUGAAAUUGAUGCACAAAAUAGGUGGUUCAACACAGUUUCUAGUUUUAUUAACUUUGGUCAAUUCUUGCCAAUUUCAUUUCUGGUCUCUUGGGUUCAUUCCAACACUUGAAUUAUUACUAAUUAAGACUAUUUUAAGUAUUUCCUUGACUUUUUAAGCAUAAAUUUUGUUUUGACCAUUUAAACCCAACUUUUUCAAACUUUUACAUAUUAAUUUCUCAAAUUCUUGUAUACAUUAGCAUUCCAACACUUGGAAUAGCCUAGCAUAACUCUAAAUCACUUGUCUAAGGUGUCAAAACUGAGUUUUAAGCAAAAUGGCAAAAUCUAAUUUCACACUAAGAAAAAUAUCCAAAAAUUGUAGUUUGAGUGAUUUUAUAGGCUAGUUUGUUGAUUUGUUUGAAUUUUUGGGUUAAGGUCUUGGCUCAACCAUUUGGCCCUGCUUCUAGACCAUACAUCAAGGUAUUUUAAUCAAGGUUUAGGUUUCUUAUUCAUUUCAUUUAAGCUUCUCAAAACAGUGCCUCAAACUAGUCUGUUUUCUUAACUUUUUGCAAAAACUGCUUUUAACAGUACUUUAUCAUUUUUUUUCCAGUUUUGGUAACUUGGAUAGUCUAGGCAUGUGUAUUUUAGUUUCCUAAGGUUAUUUUUAUCAUUAUCUCACUUUGUUUAGUGUUUUAACCAAUUUUGACCUAUCAAAGCUCACUUUAGGCUUGAAAAAUAGAUCCUAACUUUGUUUUCUUACUAGCUUUGGUUAUGGCAAUGAGUAGUAAUCAUCACAAGCUUGAAUUAGGAACUUCAUAUGAGUUCGUUACAAUCUUAUAAGACCAGGUACUGAAAAUUUCCCAAAACAGUCCACUUUUGGGCUUAAAAUGUGUUUUUUCACAAGUCUAAUGCUCAAAACAGUUUAGGCUUAGUUUCUUUAGCUUGAGUAGUUUACUUAUGCCAUAUUAUAACUAUUAAAACAUGCAUACAUGGUCCAGGUAUUGUAAUUCUAUAGUUGAGUGUUAUUUGACACUUAAUUAAAGCUUAUUUUCAUAGCUUUUAAACUUAAUUUUUUAAUACUACUCAACCUAGAUCCUAACUAACUUAAAGAACAACUUUUAAAUACCUUUUAUGAAAAUAUUAUGGUCUCCUUACUGACUAACAAAUCCAGGUACUGGUUUUGGCUAUGACAGUUCUCUAAUCUAAAGUUUAAGCACAGAUUUGGCCAAUAACCAUAAACAGUCCCAAGCUUUAAUUCAAGGGACUUCUUAAGCAUUCAUAUAAACUUAAAACAUCAUUAUUACAUUCAUUACAUGCUUGUAAUAGUUAGUUGUCUUUCUACUAUCCAAAACAGUCCAUUUAAAGCAUUUUGAGCAUGGUUUAACACUAAAUUAUCUCAACAGUCCCCAAGCCUUCAAUUAUAAUUAUUAUCACCUCAUAUAAUUGCUAUAUACUUUGUAUUCAUGGUUUAAAACUCAAGGGUGCAAGGUUUUAAGUUCUUCGUUCAAAACAACCCUUAAUAGGCUUUAAAUUCUAUAAGAACAUGGUUUAGCAACAUGGUCAACAAUGUUAGCAUGAUUAUGCAACAUAUAUAAGCUUUGACAAAUCUUUUACAUAACCUUUAUCAUGCAUAGCUUUGAUCCUGGUGGCACCAAGCAGUUUACACCCUUCACAGACCUCAAAUAGACAUUCCAGCUAGCUUUCAUGCACACCAAAAUAGUGGCCUGGUUUGGCCUGAUUCAACAGGCCCAAACUGCCAUGUUUUGGCUCUUUUAUCACUUGACAAGGUUACAUAAUUACACUACCAUUAUCCUUCAAGGUUCAGUACAUUUAGACACCAUGUAUAGCAUGAACAUAUCCUUAGAAGUAGGGCAAAUCAAUCAUAUAUGAGCCCCUAAUUAACAGUCCAAAUCUACUUUGUUUUUUUCAUUAACAAAGCUAAAGGUAUACAAGGAACUUUAAAACAUGUUAUACUUAUGUAUAGAGCAUACUGGCUUUUAAAGCUUACUUUACAUAGCAUAUAUACACAUGAAGCUCAAUAAGUUUGCUAGUUGAUGACUUUUCUGCACUUUUGCUACCAUUUCUAGCAUAUUUUUAGGUCACAAUAUAAGCUUCUAACCAUCUAAUAUGGACAGGUUUAAUAGAUGGCUAUAGUAGUCCCAAACUUGGAUUUCUAAGCAUGGAUUCGGCAUACUAACUCAAAACAGCCUCAAGUUUAGUUAAGAUGAAUGUUGAAGCACCUUUGGAACAUGUAAUUGUUAAGAGAUAUGCAUAGCUGAAGUUUAAUCAAUUAUUAGCUAACACAAAACAACCCUCUUUUUACUUAAAUUUUAAGCAUGAAACCACUUAGCUAAUCAAGUUACUCAUAUUCAUUAUCAUAGCAUAUGAACAUGAUUUUGGAGUUGUUUGCAUAGCUAACAUGCCUUUAGCACAACACAGUCAAUACUUAGGCAUUUUAUCAAACAUAUAGGGUGCAGUCCAUAUAUAUAUACACGUAUAGUACGUAUAUUUCUAGUUCUUCAACCCCAGCCUCAUGGCUUUAAAACAAUAACCAAGACAACAAUCAUAAUACCAAUAACAACCAACACAGCUAUGCUAAUUAAAUAACAGUCUGCAUAUUAUUUAUUCAAUGCAAUAACCCAUAAUCAUUGUAACUGUCCAUAAUCAAGCUACCCGACCACUAACAAUUUAUUCUACCAUCAAAAUGAAUAGAAAAGGAAUGAAAAUGGCCUGAGUUGGAUUACCUUGCUGGGAUUCUAAAAAUUUAUGGUGCUGGGCUGCUCCAUUCUUCUUACUUCCCAGCCGGAGAUCUCCAUUUUUUUCUCUUAACUGCUAUUAUUUUUGGAACUCUGAUUAGUGAUGAAGUUAAUUGAUUUCAAGUAAUGUGCUUGGCCAUAUAUGAUUGAGCUUCUAUCAAUCAUCAUCACUCUCUUGUCUGCUAUCUCUUGGCCUCUACCCGGCCCUUACACUGUACCCUACUAUUCUCACCUGACAAGUAUAUUAGCUGCUGCAAUGGCCCCUAUCCAGCCACCUAUCUUGGCCUCUAUAAGGCUUAUAUAUGUGAUAUUUCCCUUUUGCAGACUACUUGCCCCCUAAACCUCUAGCCUUAUCCCAGACACUCUACACCUUAUCCUCAACCAUCCUACAAGUCCCUAGCCUCUAACUGGGUUGUUAACUAACUGUUUAG
This 21748-nucleotide long non-coding RNA is filed under the name Panax ginseng (ginseng). Its description in RNAcentral is "long non-coding RNA (PGIN_LNC011992)". Lineage: Eukaryota; Viridiplantae; Streptophyta; Magnoliopsida; Apiales; Araliaceae. The record is from RNAcentral.